This 402-nucleotide ribosomal RNA is filed under the name uncultured bacterium. RNAcentral describes it as "bacterial SSU rRNA". It matches the Rfam family "Bacterial small subunit ribosomal RNA", at positions 355 to 774 of the family's 1533-position model. The record is from RNAcentral.
UGGGGAAUAUUGCACAAUGGGCGAAAGCCUGAUGCAGCAACGCCGCGUGAGUGAUGAAGGCCUUCGGGUUGUAAAGCUCUGUCUUCUGGGACGAUAAUGACGGUACCAGAGGAGGAAGCCACGGCUAACUACGUGCCAGCAGCCGCGGUAAUACGUAGGUGGCAAGCGUUGUCCGGAUUUACUGGGCGUAAAGGAUGCGUAGGCGGAUACUUAAGUCAGAUGUGAAAAUCCCGGGCUUAACUUGGGAACUGCAUUUGAAACUGGGUAUCUAGAGUGCGGGAGAGGAAAGUGGAAUUCCUAGUGUAGCGGUGAAAUGCGUAGAGAUUAGGAAGAACACCAGUGGCGAAGGCGACUUUCUGGACCGUAACUGACGCUGAGGCAUGAGAGCGUGGGGAGCAAACA